This 712-nucleotide ribosomal RNA is filed under the name uncultured bacterium. Its description in RNAcentral is "bacterial SSU rRNA". It matches the Rfam family "Bacterial small subunit ribosomal RNA", at positions 789 to 1501 of the family's 1533-position model. The record is from RNAcentral.
GGUAGUCCACGCCGUAAACGAUGUCGACUUGGAGGUUGUGCCCUUGAGGCGUGGCUUCCGGAGCUAACGCGUUAAGUCGACCGCCUGGGGAGUACGGCCGCAAGGUUAAAACUCAAAUGAAUUGACGGGGGCCCGCACAAGCGGUGGAGCAUGUGGUUUAAUUCGAUGCAACGCGAAGAACCUUACCUACUCUUGACAUCCAGAGAACUUAGCAGAGAUGCUUUGGUGCCUUCGGGAACUCUGAGACAGGUGCUGCAUGGCUGUCGUCAGCUCGUGUUGUGAAAUGUUGGGUUAAGUCCCGCAACGAGCGCAACCCUUAUCCUUUGUUGCCAGCGGUUCGGCCGGGAACUCAAAGGAGACUGCCAGUGAUAAACUGGAGGAAGGUGGGGAUGACGUCAAGUCAUCAUGGCCCUUACGAGUAGGGCUACACACGUGCUACAAUGGCGCAUACAAAGAGAAGCGACCUCGCGAGAGCAAGCGGACCUCAUAAAGUGCGUCGUAGUCCGGAUUGGAGUCUGCAACUCGACUCCAUGAAGUCGGAAUCGCUAGUAAUCGUAGAUCAGAAUGCUACGGUGAAUACGUUCCCGGGCCUUGUACACACCGCCCGUCACACCAUGGGAGUGGGUUGCACCAGAAGUAGCUAGUCUAACCUUCGGGAGGACGGUUACCACGGUGUGAUUCAUGACUGGGGUGAAGUCGUAACAAGGUAACC